UACAGAGGUCUCAAGCGUUGUUCGGAUUCAUUGGGCGUAAAGGGUGCGUAGGUGGCGCGGUAAGUCGGGUGUGAAAUUUCGGAGCUUAACUCCGAAACUGCAUUCGAUACUGCCGUGCUUGAGGACUGGAGAGGAGACUGGAAUUUACGGUGUAGAGGUGAAAUUCGUAGAUAUCGGGAGGAAUACCAGUGGCGAAGGCGGCGACCUGGGCCAAUACUGACGCUGAGGUGCGAAAGCGUGGGGAGCAAACAGG
Molecule: ribosomal RNA, 253 nt
Filed under: uncultured bacterium
Lineage: Bacteria
Description: partial 16S ribosomal RNA
Rfam family: Bacterial small subunit ribosomal RNA
Source: RNAcentral